CUCGUAGGCGGUUCAGUAAGUCGGGUGUGAAAACUCUGGGCUUAACCCAGAGACGCCACUCGAUACUACUGUGACUAGAGUUCGGUAGGGGAGCGGGGAAUUCCUAGUGUAGCGGUGAAAUGCGCAGAUAUUAGGAGGAACACCGGUGGCGAAGGCGCCGCUCUGGGCCGAUACUGACGCUGAGGAGCGAAAGCGUGGGUAGCAAACA
Molecule: ribosomal RNA, 208 nt
Filed under: uncultured bacterium
Lineage: Bacteria
Description: partial 16S ribosomal RNA
Rfam family: Bacterial small subunit ribosomal RNA
Source: RNAcentral